UACGAAGGGGGCUAGCGUUGCUCGGAAUUACUGGGCGUAAAGCGCACGUAGGCGGCUUUCUAAGUCGGGGGUGAAAUCCUGGAGCUCAACUCCAGAACUGCCUUCGAUACUGGAAAGCUCGAGUCCGGGAGAGGUGAGUGGAACUGCGAGUGUAGAGGUGAAAUUCAUAGAUAUUCGCAAGAACACCAGUGGCGAAGGCGGCUCACUGGCCCGGUACUGACGCUGAGGUGCGAAAGCGUGGGGAGCAAACAGG
RNAcentral lists this ribosomal RNA (253 nucleotides) under uncultured bacterium. RNAcentral's name for it is "partial 16S ribosomal RNA". It matches the Rfam family "Bacterial small subunit ribosomal RNA", at positions 524 to 776 of the family's 1533-position model. The record is from RNAcentral.